UACGUAGGUGGCAAGCGUUGUCCGGAUUUAUUGGGUUUAAAGGGUGCGUAGGCGGACUUUUAAGUCAGUGGUGAAAGCUCGCAGCUUAACUGUGAAAUUGCCAUUGAAACUGAAAGUCUCGAGUGUGGUUGAGGUAACUGGAAUAUAUCAUGUAACGGUGAAAUGCUUAGAUAUGAUAUAGAACACCAAUUGCGAAGGCAGGUUACUGAGCCACAACUGACGCUGAGGCACGAAAGCGUGGGGAUCAAACAGG
Molecule: ribosomal RNA, 253 nt
Filed under: uncultured bacterium
Lineage: Bacteria
Description: partial 16S ribosomal RNA
Rfam family: Bacterial small subunit ribosomal RNA
Source: RNAcentral